RNAcentral lists this long non-coding RNA (313 nucleotides) under Ursus americanus (American black bear). RNAcentral's name for it is "lncRNA (ENSUAMG00000019559.1)". The record is from RNAcentral. Lineage: Eukaryota; Metazoa; Chordata; Mammalia; Carnivora; Ursidae.
AUCGGGAGUUCACUGUUCACUGAGCUCCAGCCCUCGGCCUUGAGCAGAGACCAGGCAGGUGCGGACUGAAGGCAUGCUGGCCUUGGAAUCCAUCUGAACUUUGCUCUUGGACCAGUGCAAGGCUAGCAGCUACAGCCAGGAUGGACACCAGGCUGGCCUGAGAGCCACAGAGCACGAAGUACAGGAUCCCCCACAGACUGUAAGAAAGGAGAACUGACUGGGUCCCUCUUCUGUUUAAAGACCUUCAAGAGUUCACCUUUAUUCACCAAAGAACACCUAAGCUCCUCAUCCUGGCGCUCGAGCCCGAGCAGGA